UCCUGAGGGGAACCAGCGCCGGAUAAAAACGGGGAAGGGAGGGAGGUGAACAGAGCUGAGGGAAACCGGGAAAAGGGGAGCGAUAGAAACCGGAGUAGGGGAAGCCGGGCUCAGGGGAAAAGGGGGUGUUGGAGAGUGGUAGAGCCGGGCUGAGAGAAAAACCAAGCAGGGGAAGCGGCGAUCCGGGGAGAACGGAGAGAGGGAGACCGAGGGCUGUGGGGUUGUGGAGGCCAGGAGUCUAGAACGUCUUACAAGGUUAACAUCAAGAUGUUGGCAGAGCUGGUUCCUUUUGGACGCUCUAGAGCAAGCUUUUCCAACCUGCAGCUGCGGGCUAAAUUCGGCCCAGGAUGGCUUUGAAUGUGAGGACAUUUUUGUUUAUCUGUGUGAUGGAUAUCAUGAAAAUUAUGCACGGUCCCUUUUUUUUUUUUUUGGCUCAUCACCUAUCGUUAGUGUUAGUGUUUGUGUGAAAUACAUUCCCAUGAUCAAAUUACCUCCCACCAGGUCCCUCUGCCAAUAUUUGGAGUUACAAUUCAACAUGAGAUUUGGGUGGGGACACAGAGCCAAACCAUAUCAUGGUGUUUCGCUGUGUUGCCCAGGCUGGUCUCAAACUCCUGGGCCCAAGCAAUAUGCCCGUCCUUGGCCUCCCAAAGUGCUGGGAUUACAGUCAUGAGCUACCACAUCUGACUGAUCCUGGCGCUUCUGAUCUCUCUUACCUUUCCCUUUUUUUUGUUUUGAGACAGAGUUUCACUCUGACACCCAGGCCUGGAGUGACCGCUCACUGCAGCCUCAACCUCCUAGGUACAAGCAAUACUCUCACAUCAGCCUCCCCAGUAGCUGGGAUUAUAGGUGCAUACCACCAUGCCCAGCUACUUUAUUUAUUUUUUAUUGUUUGUAGAAACAAGGUCUGUGUUGCCCAGGCUGGUCUCGAAUUCCUAGCCGUAAGCUAUCCUCCUGCCUCUGACUCCCAAAGUGCUGGGAUUACAGGCGUGAGCCACCACGCCCGGCCUUCUCCCUUCUUACAAAGAAAGACAUCAGUCAUUGGAUUACAGCCUACUCUAAUCCACUAUGACCUUAUCUUAACUUGAUUCCAUCUGCAAAGACUCUUUCUGAAUAAAGUCAUAUCCACAGGUAUUAGGGUUUGGACUUGAACAUAUCUACUGGGGGGACACAACUGAACCCCCAACCUCCACCCAGCUUUAUCAGUACUUUACACACGAUGCCCCGGCCACACUGGUCUUCUCUCGGGUCCUCAAAUGCCAAGUUUGUUUCCACCUCAGGGCCUCUGCGUUUGCUGUUGCCUCUGCCAGGAACACUCAGCCCACGGAUCUUCACCUAGCCAGCUCCUUCUCAUUCUAAGGAUAGAUUAUUACCAUCUCACGGAGACCUCCCUGCCACCCUAGGAAAAGUGCCCCUCUUCUUAUAAAGGCCUCCCUUUUAUAUAUACCAUUUUAUUAUCCUCAUAUUAUCAUCAUAUCUGGACCUAUCUUACUUGUUUUUGUACUUUCUGUCUUCCUUCUACCCCCAUGCCACCCAGAAUAUAAGCUCUGUGAAAGAGGAAUGUUUGUGGUUUUAAUAUGUACAGACAUUCUCUGACACUCCUCCCUUCAAAAAGUGGUGCCUAAUUCUUCCCAGCCCUCUUCAAUGUGGGCUGGACUUAUUUCUAAGACACAGAGUGUGGCAGAAGGGAUCCCAUGUAACUCCUGAGGCUAGGUCAUAGAAAGGAUAGCAUCAGCUUGACUCACUCCAUUUUGGAUCAUUUGCUCUGAGGGAAGCCAUCUGCCAUGUUGGAAGGACACUCAAGCAGCCUUAUGGAGAAUCCCACAUGGAGAAGAAAUAGUUGCCAGGCAUGGGAGUGAGGACUUCAAAAGUAGAUCUUUCAGAUGAUUUCAGCCCCGCAACCUUCAAUUCUUCCGGCUGACACCCCAGACAUACAGAGCCAAGACAAACCAUCCCCAAUGCCCACUGUGCCCUCUCUGAAUUCCUGACCCACAGAAAUCAUCAGAUAAUAAAUGGUUAUUCUUGUUUUAA
Long non-coding RNA from Homo sapiens (human), 2028 nucleotides. RefSeq lists it as uncharacterized. Lineage: Eukaryota; Metazoa; Chordata; Mammalia; Primates; Hominidae. The record is from RefSeq and is a predicted model, not a curated record. The transcript has 2 exons.